Molecule: ribosomal RNA, 292 nt
Filed under: uncultured bacterium
Lineage: Bacteria
Description: partial 16S ribosomal RNA
Rfam family: Bacterial small subunit ribosomal RNA
Source: RNAcentral
GUGUCAGCAGCCGCGGUAAGACAGAGGGUGCGAACGUUGCUCGGAAUUACUGGGCGUAAAGCGCGUGUAGGCGGGCCGACAAGUCGGAUGUGAAAUCCCCGGGCUCAACCCGGGAACUGCACCCGAAACUGUCGGUCUUGAGUGCCGGAGAGGGUGGCGGAAUUCCUGGUGUAGAGGUGAAAUUCGUAGAUAUCAGGAGGAACACCGGUGGCGAAGGCGGCCACCUGGACGGCUACUGACGCUGAGACGCGAAAGCGUGGGGAGCAAACAGGAUUAGAAACCCGCGUAGUCC